Molecule: ribosomal RNA, 1071 nt
Filed under: Phyllomedusa chaparroi
Lineage: Eukaryota; Metazoa; Chordata; Amphibia; Anura; Hylidae
Description: partial 16S ribosomal RNA
Rfam family: Bacterial large subunit ribosomal RNA
Source: RNAcentral
AGCUGGUUACUUAAGAAAAGGAUUUUAGUCCAACCCAAUCUUUUUAUUAUACAACUAAAUAAACAUCAAAUUUUUGGAGUAAUUCAAAUAAGGUACAGCCUAUUUGAAACAGGAUACAACCUAUAUAAAUGGGUAAUUUAAUUUUCUAUAAUAAAGUAGGCCUAAAAGCAGCCAUCUUUUAAAAAGCGUCAAAGCUUUAUUAUUCAUUAACAAAAUUCCUUUAAUUAUCAAAAACCCUUAUUCUAUAUUAAGUAACUCUAUAUACCUAUAGAACCUAUUAUGUUAAAACUAGUAACAAGAAUUAAACCUUCUCCUAAAUGCAAGUGUAAAUCAGACUGGAUAAACCACUGAUUUUUAAUAUACAUGAACUCAAAGUAACAACUAAUCAAGAAAAUCUUACUUUAUAUUAUAUUAAUCUAACACAAGAGCAUUCCCGGACAGAUUAAAAGGAAAAGAAGGAACUCGGCAAACAUUAACCUCGCCUGUUUACCAAAAACAUCGCCUCCUGCUUAACCCAUAGGAGGUCCAGCCUGCCCAGUGACUCUGUUUAACGGCCGCGGUAUCCUAACCGUGCGAAGGUAGCGUAAUCAUUUGUUCUUUAAAUGAGGACUAGUAUGAAUGGCAUCACGAAGGUUGCACUGUCUCCUUUUCCUAAUCAGUGAAACUAAUCUCCCCGUGAAGAAGCGGGGAUUAACUUAUAAGACGAGAAGACCCUAUGGAGCUUCAAACUUUUCAACAAUUAUCUUCACUUAUAUAAGUCUUCCUGAACAAUAAAAUUAACCUAGAUAAAAUGUCUGCAAGUUUUCGGUUGGGGUGACCGCGGAGCAAAACUUAACCUCCGCAAUGAAUUAGAGCUUUACUUCUAAACAAAGAAUUACAAUUCUAUGUAUCAAAAAAUUGACACAAUUGACCCAAUACUUUGAUCAACGAACCAAGUUACCCUAGGGAUAACAGCGCAAUCCAUCUCAAGAGCUCUUAUCGACAGAUGGGUUUACGACCUCGAUGUUGGAUCAGGGUAUCCCAGUGGUGCAGCCGCUACUAAAGGUUCGUUUGUUCAACGAUCAAAACCCU